AGGAACACCAGUGGCGAAGGCGACUCUCUGGUCUGUAACUGACGCUGAGGAGCGAAAGCGUGGGGAGCGAACAGGAUUAGAUACCCUGGUAGUCCACGCCGUAAACGAUGAGUGCUAAGUGUUAGGGGGUUUCCGCCCCUUAGUGCUGCAGCUAACGCAUUAAGCACUCCGCCUGGGGAGUACGGUCGCAAGACUGAAACUCAAAGGAAUUGACGGGGGCCCGCACAAGCGGUGGAGCAUGUGGUUUAAUUCGAAGCAACGCGAAGAACCUUACCAGGUCUUGACAUCCUCUGACAAUCCUAGAGAUAGGACGUCCCCUUCGGGGGCAGAGUGACAGGUGGUGCAUGGUUGUCGUCAGCUCGUGUCGUGAGAUGUUGGGUUAAGUCCCGCAACGAGCGCAACCCUUGAUCUUAGUUGCCAGCAUUCAGUUGGGCACUCUAAGGUGACUGCCGGUGACAAACCGGAGGAAGGUGGGGAUGACGUCAAAUCAUCAUGCCCCUUAUGACC
This 507-nucleotide ribosomal RNA is filed under the name Bacillus subtilis. RNAcentral's name for it is "bacterial SSU rRNA". It matches the Rfam family "Bacterial small subunit ribosomal RNA", at positions 702 to 1209 of the family's 1533-position model. The record is from RNAcentral. Lineage: Bacteria; Bacillati; Bacillota; Bacilli; Caryophanales; Bacillaceae.